AUGGCGAUUGUCUCGCCGUCUGCUGAUCUUGUAGCGCUACUCACCUUCCUCAUCUGCCUCAUCCAUCGUUGUGGCGCAGGAGGCUAUGACGCCGAGCUCUACCACCCGGUAAUCUUGAUCCCUGGUUUCACUUGCCCCAACCUGGAGGCGUGGCUGGCCAACACCUACGCGCCGUCGUUGCCCCGCUGCGGCGAGCUCAAGGGGAAGGGGUGGUUCCCGCUGUGGAAAAACACGACGGACCUGGUCCGGCAGGACUACGUGCCGUGCUUCGAGGAGCAGAUGCGCCUCGUCUAUGACCCCGUCCUCAACGACUACCGGAACUUGCCCGGCGUCGAGACCCGCGUGCCGGACUUCGGCUCCGCCCACGGGUUCACCUCCAAGAACGAUUCGAGCCGUAUCCCAACUUGUCUGGCAAGGGUCCGCGAAGAGCUUGAGUUGCUUGGGUAUCGUGAUGGUGAUACCCUUUUCGGAGCUCCCUACGACCCACGGCACGCUCCGCCGCUGCCGGGGCAACCAUCUCAGGUGUACUCCGACUAUUUUGCUCAUGUCAAGGACCUGGUGGAGCGCGCGAGCGAGAAGAAUCAAAACAAGCCGGUCAUCCUCGUUGCGCACAGCUUUGGUGGCAAGGUCAUCCUCGGGUUCGUCAACUCGACUCCCAUGGCAUGGAGGAAGAAAUUCAUCAAGCACCUGGUCCUCGUAUCGCCCACACCUCCGGAAGGUUUCCUGGGGGUGCUCACAAGCCUCGCCUCGGGACCGUCCUUCAUCGUCCCAUCGGUUCCGCCGCUGCUUCUGCGGCAAAUGUGGAGAACCUUUGCGAGCACCCUUUUAUCCCUCCCAUCUCCCAUGGCAUUUGGUCACAGGCCAAUUGUGAUCACCAACCACAAGAACUACUCGGCAUAUGACUACAAGGACCUCCUGCCGGCACUUGGUUUGAACAGCGAGGUCGUGAAACGAGUGCUUUCGAUGAAGCUGAGAAUUGACCCGCCGAUGGUGCCGACUACAUACCUCAAUGGUGUCGGCGUCAAAACGCCGGAGCAGGUGGUGUACCGGGAUGGUAACUUCAACGUGGCUCCCGAGAAGGUAUACGGCGAUGGAGACGGGACCAUGAAUUUGUUUAGCGUGCUUGCGUUUGUGAAGGAGCUGAGUAGGCAACAACAAGCUAACAUACCCUUCAAGUUCGUGGAGAUUGCUAAUGCCACACACUCCGAUAUUGUUGUUCAGGAGCAUUCGCUCAAGAAGGUCAUGGAUGUAAUUCUAGAAGCAAAUCGCUGA
RNAcentral lists this ribosomal RNA (1272 nucleotides) under Triticum aestivum (bread wheat). Its description in RNAcentral is "partial small subunit ribosomal RNA". Lineage: Eukaryota; Viridiplantae; Streptophyta; Magnoliopsida; Poales; Poaceae. The record is from RNAcentral.